AGAGUUUGAUCCUGGCUCAGGACGAACGCUGGCGGCGUGCCUAAUACAUGCAAGUCGAGCGGACAGAAGGGAGCUUGCUCCCGGAUGUUAGCGGCGGACGGGUGAGUAACACGUGGGUAACCUGCCUGUAAGACUGGGAUAACUCCGGGAAACCGGAGCUAAUACCGGAUAGUUCCUUGAACCGCAUGGUUCAAGGAUGAAAGACGGUUUCGGCUGUCACUUACAGAUGGACCCGCGGCGCAUUAGCUAGUUGGUGAGGUAACGGCUCACCAAGGCGACGAUGCGUAGCCGACCUGAGAGGGUGAUCGGCCACACUGGGACUGAGACACGGCCCAGACUCCUACGGGAGGCAGCAGUAGGGAAUCUUCCGCAAUGGACGAAAGUCUGACGGAGCAACGCCGCGUGAGUGAUGAAGGUUUUCGGAUCGUAAAGCUCUGUUGUUAGGGAAGAACAAGUGCAAGAGUAA
This 466-nucleotide ribosomal RNA is filed under the name Bacillus sp. (in: firmicutes). RNAcentral's name for it is "bacterial SSU rRNA". It matches the Rfam family "Bacterial small subunit ribosomal RNA", at positions 8 to 464 of the family's 1533-position model. Lineage: Bacteria; Bacillati; Bacillota; Bacilli; Caryophanales; Bacillaceae. The record is from RNAcentral.